RNAcentral lists this small nucleolar RNA (138 nucleotides) under Ornithorhynchus anatinus (platypus). Lineage: Eukaryota; Metazoa; Chordata; Mammalia; Monotremata; Ornithorhynchidae. The record is from RNAcentral.
CCCCUCUCAGGGUCGCAUCUGGAGGGUUUCCAGUACUCUACCAGUCUCGGCUACAGGAGGGAGAGUCAAGAAGAGGCCUGCCCAUUCCAUUCCUAGCUUGGGCAGUGGCCAGCGAGUGGCAGGCAAUCUGCUACAAGU